GAUCCUGGCUCAGAAUCAACGCUGGCGGCGUGCCUAACACAUGCAAGUCGCACGAGAAAGGGUAGCAAUACCUGAGUAAAGUGGCGCACGGGUGAGUAACACGUGAAUCAUCUACCUCCGAGUGGGGAAUAACUGAGAGAAAUCUUAGCUAAUACCGCAUAACACUUACGAGUCAAAGCAGCAAUGCGCUUGGAGAGGAGUUCGCGGCAGAUUAGUUAGUUGGCGGGGUAAUGGCCCACCAAGACGAUGAUCUGUAUCCGGCCUGAGAGGGCGCACGGACACACUGGAACUGAAACACGGUCCAGACUCCUACGGGAGGCAGCAGUGGGGAAUUUUGCGCAAUGGGGGAAACCCUGACGCAGCAACGCCGCGUGGAGGAUGAAAUCCCUUGGGAUGUAAACUCCUUUCGAUAGGGAAGAUAAUGACGGUACCUAUAGAAGAAGCCCCGGCUAACUUCGUGCCAGCAGCCGCGGUAAUACGAGGGGGGCAAGCGUUGUUCGGAUUUAUUGGGCGUAAAGGGUGCGUAGGCGGUUUGGCAAGUCUUGUGUGAAAUCUUUGGGCUCAACCCAAAGUCUGCACAAGAAACUGCCGGGCUUGAGUAUGGGAGAGGUGAGUGGAAUUUCCGGUGUAGCGGUGAAAUGCGUAGAUAUCGGAAGGAACACCUGUGGCGAAAGCGGCUCACUGGACCAU
RNAcentral lists this ribosomal RNA (690 nucleotides) under uncultured Acidobacteriota bacterium. RNAcentral describes it as "bacterial SSU rRNA". It matches the Rfam family "Bacterial small subunit ribosomal RNA", at positions 15 to 737 of the family's 1533-position model. The record is from RNAcentral. Lineage: Bacteria; Pseudomonadati; Acidobacteriota.